This 275-nucleotide ribosomal RNA is filed under the name uncultured prokaryote. RNAcentral's name for it is "partial 16S ribosomal RNA". It matches the Rfam family "Bacterial small subunit ribosomal RNA", at positions 524 to 798 of the family's 1533-position model. The record is from RNAcentral.
UACGUAGGUGGCAAGCGUUGUCCGGAACUACUGGGUGUAAAGGGCGUGUAGGCGGGGAAGCAAGUCAGAUGUGAAAUCCCGGGGCUCAACUCCGGAGUUGCAUCUGAAACUGUUUUUCUUGAGUGCUGGAGAGGAAAGCGGAAUUCCUAGUGUAGCGGUGAAAUGCGUAGAUAUUAGGAGGAACACCAGUGGCGAAGGCGGCUUUCUGGACAGUAACUGACGCUGAGGCGCGAAAGCGUGGGGAGCAAACAGGGUUAGAUACCCUGGUAGUCCCU